Vicia faba (fava bean) is the source of this 246-nucleotide non-coding RNA. The record is from the annotation of a GenBank genome assembly. NCBI's taxonomy places the organism in Eukaryota, Viridiplantae, Streptophyta, Magnoliopsida, Fabales, Fabaceae.
AUGUCACAAUACUCAGCUUCUGUGUAUAAUGUAGGAUUCUCGACGAUAUUUAACUCAGAUGGCUCCAACCUCUUAAUAUUUAAGACCCUCCAAAAUGUUCUGCUUUUUAUCUCUUCCAAUCAUGUAGAAUCUCUGAGCAUAGAGAAAAGAUAUUGUCAGAAUAAAUUCGUGAGACGUAGCGUAAAGUGCAUGGCAACAUCUAUCAAUGAUUUUAGUUGCAGAAGAAGAAAGUGGCAUUUUAGUUAA